CCUACGGGUGGCUGCAGUGGGGAAUUUUGGACAAUGGGGGCAACCCUGAUCCAGCCAUUCCGCGUGAGUGAAGAAGGCCUUCGGGUUGUAAAGCUCUUUCGCAAGGGAAGAAAACUUACUCAAUAAUACCGGUUGAGGCUGACGGUACCUUGAUAAGAAGCACCGGCUAACUACGUGCCAGCAGCCGCGGUAAUACGUAGGGUGCUAGCGUUAAUCGGAAUUACUGGGCGUAAAGCGUGCGCAGGAGGUGAAAUCCCCGGGCUCAACCUGGGAACUGCGUUUGAGACUACAAGGCUAGAGUAUGGCAGAGGGGGGUAGAAUUCCACGUGUAGCAGUGAAAUGCGUAGAGAUGUGGAGGAAUACCAAUGGCGAAGGCAGCCCCCUGGGUCAAUACUGACGCUCAUGCACGAAAGCGUGGGGAGCAAACAGGAUUAGAUACCCCAGUAGUC
Molecule: ribosomal RNA, 449 nt
Filed under: uncultured bacterium
Lineage: Bacteria
Description: partial 16S ribosomal RNA
Rfam family: Bacterial small subunit ribosomal RNA
Source: RNAcentral